UAAGCGGAGGAAAAGAAACCAACAGGGAUUGCCUCAGUAACGGCGAGUGAAGCGGCAGCAGCUCAAAUUUGAAAUCUGACCCUUUUAGGGGUCCGAGUUGUAAUUUGUAGAGGGUGUUUCGGGCGAGGCGCCGGCCUAAGUCCCUUGGAACAGGGCGUCAUAGAGGGUGAGAAUCCCGUAUGCGGGCGGUGACCGAGUCCUUGUGAAACCCCUUCGACGAGUCGAGUUGUUUGGGAAUGCAGCUCUAAAUGGGUGGUAAAUUUCAUCUAAAGCUAAAUACCGGCCAGAGACCGAUAGCGCACAAGUAGAGUGAUCGAAAGAUGAAAAGCACUUUGGAAAGAGAGUUAAAAAGUACGUGAAAUUGUUGAAAGGGAAGCGCUUGCAACCAGAUCUGUUCUCGGGUGAUCAGCCGUCGUUCUCGGCGGUGCAUUCACCCGUUGCAGGCCAGCAUCGGUUCGGGCGGUCGGAUAAAGGCCCCGGGAAUGUAGUUCCCCUCGGGGAGUGUUAUAGCCCGGGGUGCAAUGCGGCCAGCCCGGACCGAGGACCGCGCUUCGGCUAGGAUGCUGGCGUAAUGGUUGUAAGCGGCCCGUCUUGAAACACGGACCAAGGAGUCUAACAUCUAUGCGAGUGUUUGGGUGUCAAACCCAUGCGCGGAAUGAAAGUGAACGGAGGUGAGAACCCUUAAGGGCGCAUCAUCGACCGAUCCAGAUGUCUUCGGAUGGAUUUGAGUAAGAGCAUAGCUGUUGGGACCCGAAAGAUGGUGAACUAUGCCUGAAUAGGGUGAAGCCAGAGGAAACUCUGGUGGAGGCUCGCAGCGGUUCUGACGUGCAAAUCGAUCGUCAAAUUUGGGUAUAGGGGCGAAAGACUAAUCGAACCAUCUAGUAGCUGGUUCCUGUCGAAGUUUCCCUCAGGAUAGCAGUAACGUUUUCAGUUUUAUGAGGUAAAGCGAAUGAUUAGAGGACUGGGGGAUGAAACAUCCUUCACCUAUUCUCAAACUUUAAAUAUGUAAGAAGUCCUUGUUACUUAGUUGAACGUGGACAUUCGAAUGUACCGUUACUAGUGGGCCAUUUUUGGUAAGCAGAACUGGCGAUGCGGGAUGAACCGAACGUGAGGUUAAGGUGCCGGAAUGCACGCUCAUCAGACACCACAAAAGGUGUUAGUUCAUCUAGACAGCAGGACGGUGGCCAUGGAAGUCGGAAACCGCUAAGGAGUGUGUAACAACUCACCUGCCGAAUGAACUAGCCCUGAAAAUGGAUGGCGCUCAAGCGUGCUACCUAUACCUCGCCGCCAGGGUAGAAACGAUGCCCUGGCGAGUAGGCAGGCGUGGGGGUCGGUGACGAAGCCUUGGGAGUGAUCCCGGGUCGAACGGCCCUUAGUGC
RNAcentral lists this ribosomal RNA (1379 nucleotides) under Buellia dispersa. Its description in RNAcentral is "eukaryotic LSU rRNA". It matches the Rfam family "Eukaryotic large subunit ribosomal RNA", at positions 47 to 1445 of the family's 3401-position model. Lineage: Eukaryota; Fungi; Ascomycota; Lecanoromycetes; Caliciales; Caliciaceae. The record is from RNAcentral.